Molecule: ribosomal RNA, 496 nt
Filed under: uncultured bacterium
Lineage: Bacteria
Description: partial 16S ribosomal RNA
Rfam family: Bacterial small subunit ribosomal RNA
Source: RNAcentral
AUGAACGCUGGCGGCGUGCCUAAUACAUGCAAGUCGAGCGAACGGACGAGAAGCUUGCUUUUCUGAUGUUAGCGGCGGACGGGUGAGUAACACGUGGAUAACCUACCUAUAAGACUGGGAUAACUUCGGGAAACCGGAGCUAAUACCGGAUAAUAUUUUGAACCGCCUGGUUCAAAAGUGAAAGACGGUCUUGCUGUCACUUAUAGAUGGAUCCGCGCUGCAUUAGCUAGUUGGUAAGGUAACGGCUUACCAAGGCAACGAUGCAUAGCCGACCUGAGAGGGUGAUCGGCCACACUGGAACUGAGACACGGUCCAGACUCCUACGGGAGGCAGCAGUAGGGAAUCUUCCGCAAUGGGCGAAAGCCUGACGGAGCAACGCCGCGUGAGUGAUGAAGGUCUUCGGAUCGUAAAACUCUGUUAUUAGGGAAGAACAUAUGUGUAAGUAACUGUGCACAUCUUGACGGUACCUAAUCAGAAAGCCACGGCUAACUACGUG